Molecule: long non-coding RNA, 813 nt
Filed under: Haliotis rufescens (red abalone)
Lineage: Eukaryota; Metazoa; Mollusca; Gastropoda; Lepetellida; Haliotidae
Description: uncharacterized LOC125376076, transcript variant X1
Source: RNAcentral
AACCACAAGACACUUCAGGUCAUACCAGGUAGAACUACUAAAAACAUCAGGUAAUACCAGGUUGAACCACAAGACACUUCAGGUCAUACCAGGUAGAACCACAAGACACUUCAGGUCAUACCAGGUAGAACUACUAGCCACUUCAGGUCAUACCAGUAGUACUACUAGUCUCAGACAAAUAUAUGAAUAUUGAUACUAGAUAAAUAAUUGACUGCCAUUGAAAUAUUUACAUUUAUUGAAAUUACCAUUGUUAAGAUGGACAGUGAGAAUUCCAAAAAUUCAAAAUUAUAGACAUUAAUUGAUCAGUCUAGUUCAUAUAUAGCAUUAAAUGGAUAAAUUGCAUAGGUAGUUUUUAUCAAUAUACUAGUCCUGCACCAUGACUGUGGAAUAUAUUUAUUUUAUGAAAAAUAAAUAAAUCUAGAAAUGCAUACAAAAGCAAGUCUAGCUAGCUCUCUGAAAUCAGCAUAGUGAAUUUUUUUCAGUCAAGAAGGAUAUUGUGUAUUAUAAGAUUUCAGAGACUAAAUGUUAGUCUAUCAAUACACAUGCAGAAUGUUUAAUUCUAUUUAUACUAAUUAAUAUAUAUUCAACCCAACUCCCUCCCUGGCUUCAGUGUCUUAUCGGUAUGUCUAAUGGUGAUGUUUUUCUACCCAGAGGGCCACACUUCAGUGUCUUAUCGGUAUGUCUAAUGGUGAUGUUUUUCUACCCAGAGGGCCACGCUUCAGUGUGUUAUCGGUAUGUCUAAUGGUGAUGUUUUUCUACCCAGAGGGCCACGCUUCAGUGUGUUAUCGGUAUGUCUAAUGGUGAUGUUUUUCU